ACAAACUUGGUCAUUUAGAGGAAGUAAAAGUCGUAACAAGGUUUCCGUAGGUGAACCUGCGGAAGGAUCAUUCAUAAUGUUCAUUUGACUAUGGACUAAAAAUCCGUAUCUACACCCUUGUGAAUUGUAAUUGUCUCCUUUGGUAUUUCUUUAUGGUUAUCCUGAGAUUUAGGCUUAAUCCCUUAAAAAUCAGGAAUCUUCCUACUCUGCAAAGAGUGAGGGUACCAGAGGCUAAUUAAACCAACGCCUUUGAAAUUCUUGUCUGAAAACUACUUGAAUAAAUAAUUCAAAUACAACUUUCAACAACGGAUCUCUAGGCUCUCGCAUCGAUGAAGAACGCAGC
This 343-nucleotide unclassified non-coding RNA is filed under the name uncultured fungus. Its description in RNAcentral is "partial contains small subunit ribosomal RNA, internal transcribed spacer 1, and 5.8S ribosomal RNA". The stretch from base 1 to 73 matches the Rfam family "Eukaryotic small subunit ribosomal RNA", at positions 1759 to 1831 of the family's 1831-position model. Lineage: Eukaryota; Fungi. The record is from RNAcentral.